This 783-nucleotide ribosomal RNA is filed under the name uncultured Neocallimastigales. RNAcentral describes it as "partial large subunit ribosomal RNA". It matches the Rfam family "Eukaryotic large subunit ribosomal RNA", at positions 22 to 645 of the family's 3401-position model. The record is from RNAcentral. Lineage: Eukaryota; Fungi; Neocallimastigomycota; Neocallimastigomycetes; Neocallimastigales.
UAGAUGCGAGAGUAGAGCAUAUCAAUAAGCGGAGGAAAAGAAACUAACAAGGAUUCCCUUAGUAACGGCGAGUGAAGCGGGAAGAGCUCAAAUUUGAAAUCUUCAAGGUUUUACCUUGACGAAUUGUAGUUUAAAGAAGUGUUUUCUGUUGAAGUUUUGGUAAAAGUUCUUUGGAAUAGGACAUCAUAGAGGGUGAGAAUCCCGUAUUUGACCAUUAUUUUCAGCUGUGUGAUACACUUUCAAGGAGUCGGAUUGUUUGGGAAUGCAGUCCAAAAUGGGUGGUAAAUUUCAUCUAAAGCUAAAUAUUGGCGAGAGACCGAUAGCGAACAAGUACCGUGAGGGAAAGAUGAAAAGAACUUUGAAAAGAGAGUUAAACAGUACGUGAAAUUGUCAAAAGGGAAGCGUUUGACACCAGUGUUGUUUUCUCGAAAAUCAAUUAAGAAUGCCGAUUUUGUUUUGAAGUAUUGACCUUAAUAGGCUUGCUUCAUCUCUUUACUUGUAACUUUUUAAUGCACUUUUCGGUUAACAAGUCAACAUCAAUUUCUUUUGUUGUAAAAGGGUCAUUGAGGAAGGUGGCUUUCUUUUCGGAGAAAGUGUUUAUAGCCUUUGUAUCCUCUGCAAUCCGGAGAGACUGAGGUCUGCAGCGUAGACUCUUCGGGGUUAGAUACAUUUGUGCUAGGCUAUAGCUUUUAUAGACAACUUGUUGACUAUGAUUAAGUCUUGUAGCUUACUCGCUUAUGCUAUUUUACCUACGCUUAGGAUGUUGACGAGACUGUCGAUCUC